This 492-nucleotide ribosomal RNA is filed under the name uncultured bacterium. RNAcentral describes it as "partial 16S ribosomal RNA". It matches the Rfam family "Bacterial small subunit ribosomal RNA", at positions 29 to 507 of the family's 1533-position model. The record is from RNAcentral.
AGUGAACGCUGGCGGUAGGCCUAACACAUGCAAGUCGAACGGCAGCACAGUAAGAGCUUGCUCUUACGGGUGGCGAGUGGCGGACGGGUGAGGAAUACAUCGGAAUCUACUUUUUCGUGGGGGAUAACGUAGGGAAACUUACGCUAAUACCGCAUACGACCUACGGGUGAAAGCAGGGGAUCUUCGGACCUUGCGCGAUUGAAUGAGCCGAUGUCGGAUUAGCUAGUUGGCGGGGUAAAGGCCCACCAAGGCGACGAUCCGUAGCUGGUCUGAGAGGAUGAUCGGCCGCACUGGAACUGAGAGAAGGUCAAGACUCCUACGGGAGGCCGCAGCGGGGAAGAUUGGACAAGGGGCGCAAGCGUGAUCCAGCCAUAGGGGGUGGGGUAAGAAGGCCUUCGGAUCGUAAAGCCCUUUUGUGGGGAAAAAAAAACAGCAGGUGAAUACCCCGCUGUUCUGACGGUACCCAAAGAAUAAGCACCGGCGAACUUCGUG